This 324-nucleotide ribosomal RNA is filed under the name Triticum aestivum (bread wheat). RNAcentral's name for it is "partial small subunit ribosomal RNA". Lineage: Eukaryota; Viridiplantae; Streptophyta; Magnoliopsida; Poales; Poaceae. The record is from RNAcentral.
AUGGACAGUCAUCUGUCAUGCCAGGAGUGGAUGAUGCAAAGGUGGCACAAACUCAAACGCAGGAAGAUGUGCGUGACUUGUACAAAGAAGAGAAUGAUACUACUGCUCCUAGUCCCCAGUACACCCAAGCCCAGAACAACCAAAUCGAAGCGUCCAACAAAUGCAAUUCCUUGUAGUCCAUCUAAGUUCAAGAAAAAUAAUGUGCCAAAAGACUUAAGGAGGUUUGUUGACCAUGUCAUACAGGAAGACUGUGCGGGGCAAACUAGUAAGACAGCCAACGAUGAUGAUAUUCUUUGCCAUUAUGGAAGAGGUUGCCAAGUGUGA